RNAcentral lists this ribosomal RNA (428 nucleotides) under Bacteroidota bacterium. Its description in RNAcentral is "Bacteroidetes bacterium partial 16S ribosomal RNA". It matches the Rfam family "Bacterial small subunit ribosomal RNA", at positions 355 to 776 of the family's 1533-position model. The record is from RNAcentral. Lineage: Bacteria; Pseudomonadati; Bacteroidota.
UAGGGAAUCUUCCGCAAUGGACGCAAGUCUGACGGAGCAACGCCGCGUGAGUGAAGAAGGAUUUCGGUUCGUAAAACUCUGUUGUUAGAGAAGAACAGCGCAUAGAGUAACUGUUAUGCGUGUGACGGUAUCUAACCAGAAAGCCACGGCUAACUACGUGCCAGCAGCCGCGGUAAUACGUAGGUGGCAAGCGUUGUCCGGAUUUAUUGGGCGUAAAGCGAGCGCAGGCGGUCAAUUAAGUCUGAUGUGAAAGCCCCGGCUCAACCGGGGAGGGUCAUUGGAAACUGGUUGACUUGAGUGCAGAAGAGGAGAGUGGAAUUCCAUGUGUAGCGGUGAAAUGCGUAGAUAUAUGGAGGAACACCAGUGGCGAAGGCGACUCUCUGGUCUGUAACUGACGCUGAGGCUCGAAAGCGUGGGUAGCAAACAGG